This 234-nucleotide ribosomal RNA is filed under the name Salmonella enterica. RNAcentral describes it as "partial 23S ribosomal RNA". It matches the Rfam family "Bacterial large subunit ribosomal RNA", at positions 140 to 412 of the family's 2925-position model. Lineage: Bacteria; Pseudomonadati; Pseudomonadota; Gammaproteobacteria; Enterobacterales; Enterobacteriaceae. The record is from RNAcentral.
UCGUCACACUAUCAUUAACUGAAUCCAUAGGUUAAUGAGGCGAACCGGGGGAACUGAAACAUCUAAGUACCCCGAGGAAAAGAAAUCAACCGAGAUUCCCCCAGUAGCGGCGAGCGAACGGGGAGGAGCCCAGAGCCUGAAUCAGCAUGUGUGUUAGUGGAAGCGUCUGGAAAGGCGCGCGAUACAGGGUGACAGCCCCGUACACAAAAGCGCAUGUGCUGUGAGCUCGAUGAG